CUUCACCGAGCCCAGCCACAGCGGCCGGUCGUCGUUCCGGUCCUGGCCGUACGUCGACAGCAGCGAGCGCACCUC
Molecule: antisense RNA, 75 nt
Filed under: Streptomyces sp. NRRL F-4711
Lineage: Bacteria; Bacillati; Actinomycetota; Actinomycetes; Kitasatosporales; Streptomycetaceae
Description: ASpks sRNA
Rfam family: ASpks TB sRNA
Source: RNAcentral